GAUCAUGGCUCAGGAUGAACGCUAGCGACAGGCUUAACACAUGCAAGUCGAGGGGCAGCAUGAUAAGUAGCAAUACUUAUUGAUGGCGACCGGCGCACGGGUGGGUAACGCGUAUGCAACUUACCUAUCAGAGGGGGAUAGCCCGGCGAAAGUCGGAUUAAUACUCCAUAAAACAGGGGUUUCCGCAUGGGACUAUUUGUUAAAGAUUCAUCGCUGAUAGAUAGGCAUGCGUU
Molecule: ribosomal RNA, 233 nt
Filed under: uncultured bacterium
Lineage: Bacteria
Description: partial 16S ribosomal RNA
Rfam family: Bacterial small subunit ribosomal RNA
Source: RNAcentral